GUGGGGAAUCUUGCGCAAUGGGCGAAAGCCUGACGCAGCCAUGCCGCGUGAAUGAUGAAGGUCUUAGGAUUGUAAAAUUCUUUCGCCGGGGACGAUAAUGACGGUACCCGGAGAAGAAGCCCCGGCUAACUUCGUGCCAGCAGCCGCGGUAAUACGAAGGGGGCUAGCGUUGCUCGGAAUUACUGGGCGUAAAGGGCGCGUAGGCGGACAGUUUAGUCAGAGGUGAAAGCCCAGGGCUCAACCUUGGAAUUGCCUUUGAUACUGGCUGUCUUGAGUACGGGAGAGGUGAGUGGAACUCCGAGUGUAGAGGUGAAAUUCGUAGAUAUUCGGAAGAACACCAGUGGCGAAGGCGACUCACUGGCCCGUUACUGACGCUGAGGCACGAAAGCGUGGGGAGCAAACAGGAUUAGAAACCCCGGUAGUCC
This 425-nucleotide ribosomal RNA is filed under the name uncultured bacterium. RNAcentral describes it as "partial 16S ribosomal RNA". It matches the Rfam family "Bacterial small subunit ribosomal RNA", at positions 354 to 796 of the family's 1533-position model. The record is from RNAcentral.